This 460-nucleotide ribosomal RNA is filed under the name uncultured bacterium. RNAcentral's name for it is "partial 16S ribosomal RNA". It matches the Rfam family "Bacterial small subunit ribosomal RNA", at positions 338 to 795 of the family's 1533-position model. The record is from RNAcentral.
CCUACGGGAGGCUGCAGUGAGGAAUAUUGGUCAAUGGGCGCAAGCCUGAACCAGCCAAGUCGCGUGAGGGAUGACGGUCCUAUGGAUUGUAAACCUCUUUUGUCGGGGAGCAAGGCCCGCCACGUGUGGCGGGAAGGAGAGUAAACGAAGAAAAAGCAGCGGCUAACUCCGGGCCAGCAGCAGCGGUAAUACGAGGGAGGCGGGCGUUAUCCGGAUUUGUUGGGUUUAAAGGGUUCGUAGGCGGAAGGUUAAGUCAGCGGUAAAAUGUCGGUGCUCAACACCGGCCUGCCGUUGAAACUGGUCUUCUUGAGUGAGCGAGAAGUAUGCGGAAUGCGUGGUGUAGCGGUGAAAUGCAUAGAUAUCACGCAGAACUCCGAUUGCGAAGGCAGCAUACCGGCGCUCAACUGACGCUGAGGCACGAAAGCGUGGGGAUCGAACAGGAUUAGAUACCCCAGUAGUC